GGGUUGUGAGGUUAAGCGACUAAGCGUACACGGUGGAUGCCCUGGCAGUCAGAGGCGAUGAAGGACGUGCUAAUCUGCGAUAAGCGUCGGUAAGGUGAUAUGAACCGUUAUAACCGGCGAUUUCCGAAUGGGGAAACCCAGUGUGAUUCGUCACACUAUCAUUAACUGAAUCCAUAGGUUAAUGAGGCGAACCGGGGGAACUGAAACAUCUAAGUACCCCGAGGAAAAGAAAUCAACCGAGAUUCCCCCAGUAGCGGCGAGCGAACGGGGAGCAGCCCAGAGCCUGAAUCAGUGUGUGUGUUAGUGGAAGCGUCUGGAAAGGCGUGCGAUACAGGGUGACAGCCCCGUACACAAAAAUGCACAUACUGUGAGCUCGAUGAGUAGGGCGGGACACGUGGUAUCCUGUCUGAAUAUGGGGGGACCAUCCUCCAAGGCUAAAUACUCCUGACUGACCGAUAGUGAACCAGUACCGUGAGGGAAAGGCGAAAAGAACCCCGGCGAGGGGAGUGAAAAAGAACCUGAAACCGUGUACGUACAAGCAGUGGGAGCACGCUUAGGCGUGUGACUGCGUACCUUUUGUAUAAUGGGUCAGCGACUUAUAUUCUGUAGCAAGGUUAACCGAAUAGGGGAGCCGAAGGGAAACCGAGUCUUAACUGGGCGUUAAGUUGCAGGGUAUAGACCCGAAACCCGGUGAUCUAGCCAUGGGCAGGUUGAAGGUUGGGUAACACUAACUGGAGGACCGAACCGACUAAUGUUGAAAAAUUAGCGGAUGACUUGUGGCUGGGGGUGAAAGGCCAAUCAAACCGGGAGAUAGCUGGUUCUCCCCGAAAGCUAUUUAGGUAGCGCCUCGUGAAUUCAUCUCCGGGGGUAGAGCACUGUUUCGGCAAGGGGGUCAUCCCGACUUACCAACCCGAUGCAAACUGCGAAUACCGGAGAAUGUUAUCACGGGAGACACACGGCGGGUGCUAACGUCCGUCGUGAAGAGGGAAACAACCCAGACCGCCAGCUAAGGUCCCAAAGUCAUGGUUAAGUGGGAAACGAUGUGGGAAGGCCCAGACAGCCAGGAUGUUGGCUUAGAAGCAGCCAUCAUUUAAAGAAAGCGUAAUAGCUCACUGGUCGAGUCGGCCUGCGCGGAAGAUGUAACGGGGCUAAACCAUGCACCGAAGCUGCGGCAGCGACGCUUAUGCGUUGUUGGGUAGGGGAGCGUUCUGUAAGCCUGCGAAGGUGUGCUGUGAGGCAUGCUGGAGGUAUCAGAAGUGCGAAUGCUGACAUAAGUAACGAUAAAGCGGGUGAAAAGCCCGCUCGCCGGAAGACCAAGGGUUCCUGUCCAACGUUAAUCGGGGCAGGGUGAGUCGACCCCUAAGGCGAGGCCGAAAGGCGUAGUCGAUGGGAAACAGGUUAAUAUUCCUGUACUUGGUGUUACUGCGAAGGGGGGACGGAGAAGGCUAUGUUGGCCGGGCGACGGUUGUCCCGGUUUAAGCGUGUAGGCUGGUUUUCCAGGCAAAUCCGGAAAACUAAGGCUGAGGCGUGAUGACGAGGCACUACGGUGCUGAAGCAACAAAUGCCCUGCUUCCAGGAAAAGCCUCUAAGCAUCAGGUAACAUCAAAUCGUACCCCAAACCGACACAGGUGGUCAGGUAGAGAAUACCAAGGCGCUUGAGAGAACUCGGGUGAAGGAACUAGGCAAAAUGGUGCCGUAACUUCGGGAGAAGGCACGCUGAUAUGUAGGUGAAGUCCCUCGCGGAUGGAGCUGAAAUCAGUCGAAGAUACCAGCUGGCUGCAACUGUUUAUUAAAAACACAGCACUGUGCAAACACGAAAGUGGACGUAUACGGUGUGACGCCUGCCCGGUGCCGGAAGGUUAAUUGAUGGGGUUAGCGCAAGCGAAGCUCUUGAUCGAAGCCCCGGUAAACGGCGGCCGUAACUAUAACGGUCCUAAGGUAGCGAAAUUCCUUGUCGGGUAAGUUCCGACCUGCACGAAUGGCGUAAUGAUGGCCAGGCUGUCUCCACCCGAGACUCAGUGAAAUUGAACUCGCUGUGAAGAUGCAGUGUACCCGCGGCAAGACGGAAAGACCCCGUGAACCUUUACUAUAGCUUGACACUGAACAUUGAGCCUUGAUGUGUAGGAUAGGUGGGAGGCUUUGAAGUGUGGACGCCAGUCUGCAUGGAGCCGACCUUGAAAUACCACCCUUUAAUGUUUGAUGUUCUAACGUUGACCCGUGAUCCGGGUUGCGGACAGUGUCUGGUGGGUAGUUUGACUGGGGCGGUCUCCUCCUAAAGAGUAACGGAGGAGCACGAAGGUUGGCUAAUCCUGGUCGGACAUCAGGAGGUUAGUGCAAUGGCAUAAGCCAGCUUGACUGCGAGCGUGACGGCGCGAGCAGGUGCGAAAGCAGGUCAUAGUGAUCCGGUGGUUCUGAAUGGAAGGGCCAUCGCUCAACGGAUAAAAGGUACUCCGGGGAUAACAGGCUGAUACCGCCCAAGAGUUCAUAUCGACGGCGGUGUUUGGCACCUCGAUGUCGGCUCAUCACAUCCUGGGGCUGAAGUAGGUCCCAAGGGUAUGGCUGUUCGCCAUUUAAAGUGGUACGCGAGCUGGGUUUAGAACGUCGUGAGACAGUUCGGUCCCUAUCUGCCGUGGGCGCUGGAGAACUGAGGGGGGCUGCUCCUAGUACGAGAGGACCGGAGUGGACGCAUCACUGGUGUUCGGGUUGUCAUGCCAAUGGCACUGCCCGGUAGCUAAAUGCGGAAGAGAUAAGUGCUGAAAGCAUCUAAGCACGAAACUUGCUCCGAGAUGAGUUCUCCCUGACUCCUUGAGAGUCCUGAAGGAACGUUGAAGACGACGACGUUGAUAGGCCGGGUGUGUAAGCGCAGCGAUGCGUUGAGCUAACCGGUACUAAUGAACCGUGAGGCUUAACCUUACAACGCCGAAGGUGUUU
RNAcentral lists this ribosomal RNA (2931 nucleotides) under Escherichia coli. RNAcentral's name for it is "23S ribosomal RNA". It matches the Rfam family "Bacterial large subunit ribosomal RNA". Lineage: Bacteria; Pseudomonadati; Pseudomonadota; Gammaproteobacteria; Enterobacterales; Enterobacteriaceae. The record is from RNAcentral.